This 451-nucleotide ribosomal RNA is filed under the name uncultured bacterium. RNAcentral's name for it is "partial 16S ribosomal RNA". It matches the Rfam family "Bacterial small subunit ribosomal RNA", at positions 29 to 523 of the family's 1533-position model. The record is from RNAcentral.
AACGAACGCUGGCGGCAGGCUUAACACAUGCAAGUCGAACGGAUGUAGCAAUACAUUAGUGGCGCACGGGUGAGUAACGCGUGGGAACGUGCCCUUAGGUACGGAAUAACUUCGGGACACUGAAGCUAAUACUGUAUAAUGUCUUUGGACCAAAGAUUUAUCGCCUAAGGAUCGGCCCGCGUUGGAUUAGGUAGUUGGUGAGGUAAUGGCUCACCAAGCCUACGAUCCAUAGCUGGUCUGAGAGGAUGAUCAGCCACACUGGGACCGAGACACGGCCCAGACUCCUACGGGAGGCAGCAGUGAGGAAUAUUGGACAAUGGAGGAAACUCUGAUCCAGCCAUGCCGCGUGAGUGAAGAAGGCCUUCGGGUUGUAAAGCUCUUUUACCCCUGACGAUAAUGACGGUAAGGGGAGAAAAAGCCACGGCUAACUACGUGCCAGCAGCCGCCGUAA